RNAcentral lists this ribosomal RNA (465 nucleotides) under uncultured Dietzia sp. RNAcentral describes it as "bacterial SSU rRNA". It matches the Rfam family "Bacterial small subunit ribosomal RNA", at positions 9 to 492 of the family's 1533-position model. Lineage: Bacteria; Bacillati; Actinomycetota; Actinomycetes; Mycobacteriales; Dietziaceae. The record is from RNAcentral.
GAGUUUGAUCCUGGCUCAGGACGAACGCUGGCGGCGUGCUUAACACAUGCAAGUCGAACGGUAAGGCCCCUUCGGGGGUACACGAGUGGCGAACGGGUGAGUAACACGUGGGUAAUCUGCCCUGCACUUCGGGAUAAGCCUGGGAAACUGGGUCUAAUACCGGAUAUGAACUCCUGCCGCAUGGUGGGGGUUGGAAAGUUUUUCGGUGCAGGAUGAGCCCGCGGCCUAUCAGCUUGUUGGUGGGGUAAUGGCCUACCAAGGCGACGACGGGUAGCCGGCCUGAGAGGGUGAUCGGCCACACUGGGACUGAGACACGGCCCAGACUCCUACGGGAGGCAGCAGUGGGGAAUAUUGCACAAUGGGCGAAAGCCUGAUGCAGCGACGCCGCGUGGGGGAUGACGGUCUUCGGAUUGUAAACCCCUUUCAGUAGGGACGAAGCGCAAGUGACGUACCUGCAGAGACGCC